RNAcentral lists this ribosomal RNA (459 nucleotides) under uncultured bacterium. Its description in RNAcentral is "partial 16S ribosomal RNA". It matches the Rfam family "Bacterial small subunit ribosomal RNA", at positions 339 to 795 of the family's 1533-position model. The record is from RNAcentral.
CUACGGGGGGCUGCAGUGAGGAAUAUUGGGCAAUGGAGGCAACUCUGACCCAGCCAUGCCGCGUGCAGGAAGACGGCCCUCUGGGUUGUAAACUGCUUUUGUUUGGGAAUAAACCCUUCUACGUGUAGAAGGCUGAAGGUACCUUACGAAUAAGGAUCGGCUAACUCCGUGCCAGCAGCCGCGGUAAUACGGAGGAUCCAAGCGUUAUCCGGAUUUAUUGGGUUUAAAGGGUCCGUAGGCGGAUCUUUAAGUCAGUGGUGAAAGCCCACAGCUCAACUGUGGAACUGCCAUUGAUACUGGAGAUUUUGAGUGUAGUAGAAGUAGGCGGAAUAGGGCAUGUAGCGGUGAAAUGCAUAGAUAUGCCCUAGAACACCGAUUGCGAAGGCAGCUUACUAUGUUACAACUGACGCUGAGGGACGAAAGCGUGGGGAGCAAACAGGAUUAGAUACCCUAGUAGUC